CUACGGGCUGCACCAGUCGAGAAUAUUCGACAAUGGGCGAAAGCCUGAUCGAGCGACGCCGCGUGCAGGAAGACGGCCUUCGGGUUGUAAACUGCUUUUGCGUGGGAAGAAUUUUGACGGUACCACGAGAAUAAGGGGUUGCUAACUCUGUGCCAGCAGCAGCGGUAAUACAGAGACCCCAAGCGUUAUCCGGAAUUACUGGGCGUAAAGCGCGAGCAGCCGGUCGUGUUAGUCUGAUGUCAAAUCAUGGGGCCCGACUCCAUGCCCGCAUCGGAAACGGCACGGCUAGAGUAGGUAAGAGGGGAGCGGAACGUAUGGUGUAGGGGUGAAAUCCACUGAUAUCAUACGGAACACCAAAAGCGAAGGCAGCUCCCUAGUGCCUUACUGACGGUAUAUCGCGAAAGCGUGGGGAUCAAAAAGGAUUAGAUACCCGAGUAGUC
Molecule: ribosomal RNA, 440 nt
Filed under: uncultured bacterium
Lineage: Bacteria
Description: partial 16S ribosomal RNA
Rfam family: Bacterial small subunit ribosomal RNA
Source: RNAcentral